Molecule: long non-coding RNA, 1977 nt
Organism: Pan troglodytes (chimpanzee)
Lineage: Eukaryota; Metazoa; Chordata; Mammalia; Primates; Hominidae
Exons: 3
Source: RefSeq, a predicted model, not a curated record
CAACUGGGUUUCCAAGGAAACCAGAAAGCCCAAUUUAUAAAACUAUGAAACAAAGCAACUGUAAAGGCAACACUAGACACAGAAGAGUUGGAUGGAUGAGUCAUUUCCCCCAGACUGACGGCAUCAUGAAGGCCUGAAGGUGUCACCAACUCCUCUCCUGCAACAUCAGCUGAACAGAUACAGUCCUCGCUUAGACCACCCUCAGAGAGCACAGUUUGUAAACCUUAUGAAAAUGGAAGUUGUAGAAAGCACUAAAAGUUGCUAAAAUACUUUCAUAUGAAAAAGACUCAAAUCCACCCACUGGAUUAGACAAAAACCUGAGCUGAAUGAGCCCCAGCUAUCUACCUAGAAUUUUGUCUUCAUUCCUCAUUUGUCUUCCUUGCUCCCGGUGGAGAGAAGGGGAUAUACAAACAGAUGGCUGCAGUUAGAAAAAGGCAAUAGUUGCCUCAGAAACCCAGCUCCUGGUCCCUCCUCAGUUCAACUCCAGUUCCCACUUUGGUAGAUCAGCCUGUGGAACAAAUGGGAUGGCAUUCACUACCCAAUGAUAAUUAAAAUUUAAAUGGCUAUAAGAAAACAAGUCCUCUACUGUUUAUUGGUGCCCAUACAAUCAUCAAAACAUAGGUACUGUAAAUCUUACAAAUGUGACUCAAAAAGAUUGAAAGUGGAAUAGAUUCUAAGAAACAAGCAAUUGUAUUAUUCACAUUCCAGCUGAUCUGUAUCGCCAAAUAACAAAUAAAUCCUCCAAGGAAUUCCUCCAGGAACAAUCUUUUUCCUUGAGUUUUCCCAUUCAUUUUUUUAAAAAUUUCAACAAAUAUUUAUGGAAGACCCACUUUGUGACAUCCACUGUGGUGUAGGUGCUUAGUAGGGGCUUGCUACCCCUACCAUUGGUCUUCCAUUCUAAGCUAGGAAGAGAAAACUUUUUUCUUUAAGAAACAUUCUAUUAAACACAGGAUUAGUGAUAUAUGAAUAUAUAUCCUCCAAGUCAACAGGUUCAUUUCCUCCUGGAUUUCUCUAAGUUACUUUGCUGUUGCUAUUUUUAUAACAUAAUUAGAAUGUGCUAGAAAAAUAAUAGAAAUCGGUCAAAUUGAUACUUUCCUUUCUCAAACAACUUUUUAUCAAAAGGAAGAAAACUAAAUGUAUUUGUCUCUUGGCUAUUAAAAAUACAUUGGAGCAAACAGACACUUAGGAUUAGAUUAUCACAAAGGAAAAGUCAAAUAAUUCCUGAGGCAUUCAAAAACAUGCAGAAAUGUCAGUAAACAUCCUUGAAUGAUUUUUCCCCGCCCUGGCAGAAUGAAAAGGUAAGGAAAAACACUAGAUGCAAGAAUCAGCAGACAGACAGUAGCUCGGUUUGUCUUCCAUUUCCCUUAUCCCCAGACAGUUCAUGAUUCUCGGUUUUAGAAACUGGACCACAGGGACGACAGCUGAGUGUCUGAUUUUUCAAAUGACUGACGUACAAUCACCGGGCACAUAGGGGUCAAACCUUGCAGCUAUUUCAAAAACACUUAUGUAUAAUCUGAUGAAAAGAAAUAGCUAAACAGAAAAGAUAUAAACAAAUUUGAAGUUUGGGAAGUCUUGUUGAAGAAUCACUAAACUGACAGCACAGAAGAGAAAGGAACUGAAUUAUAAAGGAGGGGGACAAAAGCCCAGAUCUGGAAAUAAUCAUUCUAUUUCAAGAUUUGUCCUGAAGAACUGUACUUUACAAGAAGUUAAUUACACUUGUGAAAGCUACAAUCAUUCUGCCAUUAUCUAUACUCCCACUAAAUCUCUAUUAGAAAGACUACCAACAAGGGAUCCAUAUGUCACAUUAAGAGAAAAAGACAAAACCAAGCAAGUUUGUAAAAACUGAUGAAAGAACAACAAACCAAUGCAAAUGGCCUUCGCUACUGGUUAUAUGGCACCCAUUUUAGCUUUUUAACUUCCUAGGAUAGACUUAUAUAAGUACUUUCCCAUCAGAAAUAAAAUUGUUAUACCAUUUUC